CAAGGACCCAUUCAGUUGGGUGGCUACGCCGGGCGCCGAUCCCCCGGCCAACU
Molecule: non-coding RNA, 53 nt
Rfam family: sul1 RNA